Long non-coding RNA from Bombus huntii, 1675 nucleotides. RefSeq lists it as uncharacterized. The transcript is spliced from 2 exons. Lineage: Eukaryota; Metazoa; Arthropoda; Insecta; Hymenoptera; Apidae. The record is from RefSeq and is a predicted model, not a curated record.
AUCACGUACAAGCAUUUUUCGUCUUAAGAUUUGUUUUCGUUUUGUUUUGUUUCAGUGGAUUUAUGUUGUAUUCGUUUCAAUGCGUUCAUAAAGGUAGCGCACUCUGUACUAUAAUGCAGUAGAAGCCAAAUGCACCCUUGCAAUUCUUUUGGAAUACUAUUCACAGAACAUCAUUAUGAAAUGGUAUUUUAUACAAAUUUUUUAUUAGUAUAAUUACGAUAGAGAUAUUUUUCAUGAUACCUAAGAAUUCAAUAUAUUCGAUACAUCCUUUCUUCUACGGUAAAAUGAUGUGUACUGUAUCAUGAUUUUUUAUAUGUUUCGUAGCCACUUUGACGUGCAUUUUUCUCAAUACGUACAAUCUUUUAUCAGACGCAAUGUUUACCAAAUGCAACUUUGUAGGAAGUAUUUUUCAUUGAUUUACUUGUAAGCUGUUUUAUAUAAUUAAAUUAAUCGCAGAUGUUUGAACAUUUUGUUAUAAUAUAUAAUAUUCAUCAUCUAACCUUUCUUGCUUUUGCAAAUUUAUAAAAAGGAGAAUAUUAUUUAUAUAUACUUAACAGUUUGUAUAUUAUUCAUCAAAUACGAUCAAUAGGUACUGCCAGGAAAGGAAUUGAACACUCAAAGACAACCUACUUAACGCUAUAUGCUCGUAAGAGGUUAAUUAAAAGCGAAGCGUAACAAUCGAUAGGCAAGAAAGGGUAGAACAUCGACAUCACUCCACGCAGCACUCGUAAAAGAGUAGGACCAUUGUGGAUUAAAGUUUUAUUAUAAAAAUCUAUAACGAUGCUCAUAGAAUUGAAUUGAAUCCUAAACUCUGUCAAUUUAGCAUCUCGUAAAGUAGAAAAAUCCUCUAGCCUUUCCUAGAGCAUCGAUCACAGUACAAAACCACGUUCAUGUUUCAGACAAUGGUCGCGUGUCUAGAAAACAUCGUAAUUAUGUCAAAGGAGUAACUGCGGAAGUGUAAAGUACUCCGGGCAUGUUGCAGCGAAAAUUACGCUUGAAACGGAGAUAUAUGUUCUUCACAAAAGUAGCAUCCGUAGUGUAACAGCUCUCCUAGGAAGGAUCGACUUGCGACCGCACAAUAUCCCACGUAUAUACGAUUAUCGAUCAAGGAUACGUAAACAGCCGUGGUAUAGUUGCGCACACGCGGCGACCAGGCCACUUAGCGUAUGUUUGUUUAGUACCUUUUACGACUAUAUUGUCCGGGCAUGUGUUAGAUUACGGAGCAGCCAGUGUCUGGCGCAUAGCUGAGGGUUGGGUGGUACGGCGCCGUGCUUCGAGAGGGUCAUUUAUAACUGUUAUCGCGAGACUUACUAGCCCACUUACUACCUCCACUGUGUCUAUUCUCCACCCACUCUUCUAUUCUACUGGAAGAAACGUAAGCGCGAGAUGCGCCAGUCCACCGAACCUGCUGGUCAUUCUAGCACGGUUUUUUAUUCGGUCAUCUUGCAUUAUGCCAGAGAAUAAAAUCUUUGAGUAACGACAUCAUUUUCAGGAAAUCUUGAUUUUUACCGCCAGUGUUCUAUGAGAAAAAUUGGCAGUUGUUUGUUUUUUCUGUUCCUUUCCAUUAGUUAGUUUAUAUUCUAUAGAUGAUUUGUACAUUAUAAUUAAUUGUAAAAUAGAAUUAUGGUCUCGAGUUAUAUUGCGAUCUUUCCUAAUAAAGCAAGGUAGUAAUGGU